AUUGAACGCUGGCGGCAGGCCUAACACAUGCAAGUCGAGCGGUAGCACAGGGAGCUUGCUCCUGGGCGACGAGCGGCGGACGGGUGAGUAAUGUCUGGGAAACUGCCUGAUGGAGGGGGAUAACUACUGGAAACGGUAGCUAAUACCGCAUAACGUCGCAAGACCAAAGAGGGGGACCUUCGGGCCUCUUGCCAUCAGAUGUGCCCAGAUGGGAUUAGCUAGUAGGUGGGGUAACGGCUCACCUAGGCGACGAUCCCUAGCUGGUCUGAGAGGAUGACCAGCCACACUGGAACUGAGACACGGUCCAGACUCCUACGGGAGGCAGCAGUGGGGAAUAUUGCACAAUGGGGGAAACCCUGAUGCAGCCAUGCCGCGUGUGUGAAGAAGGCCUUCGGGUUGUAAAGCACUUUCAGCGGGGAGGAAGGCGGCAAGGUUAAUAACCUUGUCGAUUGACGUUACCCGCAGAAGAAGCACCGGCUAACUCCGUGCCAGCCGCCGCCGUAA
This 504-nucleotide ribosomal RNA is filed under the name uncultured bacterium. Its description in RNAcentral is "partial 16S ribosomal RNA". It matches the Rfam family "Bacterial small subunit ribosomal RNA", at positions 29 to 523 of the family's 1533-position model. The record is from RNAcentral.